GGAUUAGAUACCCUGGUAGUCCACGCCGUAAACGAUGGUCACUAGAUGUGGCGGGUGUCGACUCCCGCCGUGUCGUAGCUAACGCGUUAAGUGACCCGCCUGGGGAGUACGGCCGCAAGGCUAAAACUCAAAGGAAUUGACGGGGACCCGCACAAGCAGCGGAGCAUGUGGAUUAAUUCGACGCAACGCGAAGAACCUUACCUGGGCUUGACAUACUGCUGACCUCCAUGGAAACAUGGACUUCCUUCGGGACAGCAAUACAGGUGGUGCAUGGCUGUCGUCAGCUCGUGCCG
Molecule: ribosomal RNA, 293 nt
Filed under: uncultured bacterium
Lineage: Bacteria
Description: partial 16S ribosomal RNA
Rfam family: Bacterial small subunit ribosomal RNA
Source: RNAcentral